GUGCAGGAUAAGUUACAAUGCAGCUUUUGCAGUACUGCAUUGUCGUUCCCCCUGCAAACAGUAAAUUGUUUCCUCGCUAUACCUGUCUGCCUGCAUCUUUUGGCUGCCAGGAACGUAAGGUUUCAGACAC
Small nucleolar RNA from Astatotilapia calliptera (eastern happy), 130 nucleotides. Its record names the gene SNORA63. It matches the Rfam family "Small nucleolar RNA SNORA63". Rfam says of the family: E3 belongs to the H/ACA class of snoRNAs and is involved in the processing of eukaryotic pre-rRNA and has regions of complementarity to 18S rRNA. The record is from Ensembl. NCBI's taxonomy places the organism in Eukaryota, Metazoa, Chordata, Actinopteri, Cichliformes, Cichlidae.